GAUGUUCAUUAUUAAACAACAAUCUGCUUCAUCAUUCAUGUUUGUGCUUCAUGCUGUAGUUAAUGUUUGUAUUAUUAAUGUAUUUGUUUCAUUUGUACGGUGUGACCUUGUUUCUCAGCUCCACAGAGGCCAAGACCUGUCCAGAUCUCAACAUCCACCUUCUAUCCAGAUCAAACUAUCAGCUCAUUUUCAAACACGCCGCCCUAUCUGAGAACAUCAGACACAAACCCACAAUCCAGCAGCAUCACGAUCACAGACCAUCAGAUCAUCUCUUCAACAGGUUCAUCUUCUGACCUUCAUCUUGAACUUUACAUCACAUCGUCCAUCAGAACAGGAAGUGAAAGCUUCAGUUGUGAUUAUCGUCACUGCGGAGGCUUUGGUUUUACUCCUGAUAGCAGUUCCACUGAUUAUAGUGGCUGUGAGAAAGAAAAAGAAGAAUAAAGGUCUGCUGUCAUCCUCCACUGUAAAGUUUAAUCCAGUGUUUUAUGAACAGAUCAAAGACGCUGGACAUCACUGUAAUCCAGAGGACAGAGACACAGAAAUAACUGUAUUUUACAGCUGUGGUUCAUAAACUAUUGUCAUAUAUAAUGUAAUGUAAUGUAAUGUAAUGUAAUGCAAUAUAUAGCUACCAAAUUAUCUUCAUCCUUCUCAUCAUUUUCAUCGUUUUACUGAACAUGAGUCAUAAUAAAGCUUGUUUUGUCUGUUCAUUAUCAGUUUCAUCUUCAUGACUUGAUUAUUUGGUCAUUUGUGUUUUAUUGUAAUCAUCAUUAAUGUGGCAGUUUUACAUUUGAUUCUGGAUAUGGAUCAUAAAAUAAAUGUAUUCUUUUUUUA
Molecule: long non-coding RNA, 831 nt
Organism: Ctenopharyngodon idella (grass carp)
Lineage: Eukaryota; Metazoa; Chordata; Actinopteri; Cypriniformes; Xenocyprididae
Exons: 6
Source: RefSeq, a predicted model, not a curated record